Molecule: non-coding RNA, 207 nt
Organism: Pelobates cultripes (western spadefoot toad)
Lineage: Eukaryota; Metazoa; Chordata; Amphibia; Anura; Pelobatidae
Source: the annotation of a GenBank genome assembly
CAGAUAUUGACUUGAUGAUGUGAUUGGAACAUUGAAUAUUAUAUUUUCAUUGCUCAGGUUUGUGGUAAAUUUAAAAAGUGUGGACUAUAAAGGUAAACUAUGUUCUAGUUACACUAUGGCUACUUUACUGUCUGGACAUUCUGCCUGAUACCACUACUGCAGAUUACAUGUAGGUGUAGGAUAGUUAAAACAUUUUUUUAGAGAUAC